CCGUAUUCCCUUCGUCCAGGCUACACACGUGCUACAAUGGCGCGCACAGAGGGCUGCAAACCCGCGAGGGGGAGCCAAUCUCACMAAACGCGUCGUAGUCCGGAUCGCAGUCUGCAACUCGACUGCGUGAAGUCGGAAUCGCUAGUAAUCGUGAAUCAUAAUGUCACGGUGAAUACGUUCCCGGGCCUUGUACACACCGCCCGUCACACCAUGGGAGUGGAUUGCACCAGAAGUGGUUAGUCUAACCUUCGGGAGGACGAUCACCACGGUGUGGUUCAUGACUGGGGUGAAGUCGUAACAAGGUAGCCGUAGGGGAACCUGCGGUUGGAUCACCUCCACAGG
RNAcentral lists this ribosomal RNA (342 nucleotides) under Marinobacter alkaliphilus. Its description in RNAcentral is "bacterial SSU rRNA". It matches the Rfam family "Bacterial small subunit ribosomal RNA", at positions 1193 to 1533 of the family's 1533-position model. The record is from RNAcentral. Lineage: Bacteria; Pseudomonadati; Pseudomonadota; Gammaproteobacteria; Pseudomonadales; Marinobacteraceae.